RNAcentral lists this non-coding RNA (906 nucleotides) under Candidatus Sodalis pierantonii str. SOPE. RNAcentral describes it as "primary endosymbiont of Sitophilus oryzae Bacterial small subunit ribosomal RNA". It matches the Rfam family "Bacterial small subunit ribosomal RNA", at positions 1 to 866 of the family's 1533-position model. The record is from Rfam by way of RNAcentral. Lineage: Bacteria; Pseudomonadati; Pseudomonadota; Gammaproteobacteria; Enterobacterales; Bruguierivoracaceae.
UAAUUGAAGAGUUUGAUCAUGGUUCAGAUUGAACGCUGGCGACAGGCCUAACACAUGCAAGUCGAGCGGCAGCGGGAAGAAGCUUGCUUCUUUGCCGGCGAGCGGCGGACGGGUGAGUAAUGUCUGGGGAUCUGCCCGAUGGAGGGGGAUAACUACUGGAAACGGUAGCUAAUACCGCAUAACGUCGCAAGACCAAAGGGGGGGACCUUCGGGCCUCACACCAUCGGAUGAACCCAGAUGGGAUUAGCUAGUAGGUGGGGUAAUGGCUCACCUAGGCGACGAUCCCUAGCUGGUCUGAGAGGAUGACCAGCCACACUGAAACUGAGACACGGUCCAGACUCCUACGGGAGGCAGCAGUGGGGAAUAUUGCACAAUGGGGGAAACCCUGAUGCAGCCAUGCUGCGUGUGUGAAGAAGGCCUCCGGGUUGUAAAGCACUUUCAGCGGGGAGGAAGGCGAUGGCGUUAAUAGCGCCAUCGAUUGACGUUACCCGCAGAAGAAGCACCGGCUAACUCCGUGCCAGCAGCCGCGGUAAUACGGAGGGUGCGAGCGUUAAUCGGAAUUACUGGGCGUAAAGCGUACGCAGGCGGUCUGUUAAGUCAGAUGUGAAAUCCCCGGGCUCAACCUGGGAACUGCAUUUGAAACUGGCAGGCUAGAGUCUCGUAGAGGGGGGUAGAAUUCCAGGUGUAGCGGUGAAAUGCGUAGAGAUCUGGAGGAAUACCGGUGGCGAAGGCGGCCCCCUGGACGAAGACUGACGCUCAGGUACGAAAGCGUGGGGAGCAAACAGGAUUAGAUACCCUGGUAGUCCACGCUAUAAACGAUGUCGAUUUGAAGGUUGUGGCCUUGAGCCGUUGGCUUUGAGCCUGUUUAGAAAUUUGUGUAUUUGCCUGAUUUUGAUAUGUUCAAUC